UCGUGGGUGACUGCGAAUCUGAAGGAAGCAGGCGACAAAAGUUCGGACCGACGAACAGGAACUGUAUACCAAGGCGGUGUCAUAUGGGUGAUGUUGCAAAAGAAACAAAAGCCCUAUACUGUACGAAAUAUGAUGACGUAGAUACAGCGGUUAGAUGAACGGAAAGCGGAUGAU
RNAcentral lists this non-coding RNA (174 nucleotides) under Pedobacter nutrimenti. The record is from RNAcentral. Lineage: Bacteria; Pseudomonadati; Bacteroidota; Sphingobacteriia; Sphingobacteriales; Sphingobacteriaceae.